UACGGAGGAUGCAAGCGUUAUCCGGAAUGAUUGGGCGUAAAGCGUCCGCAGGUGGCAAUGUAAGUCUGCUGUCAAAGCGUCUGGCUCAACCAGAUAAAGGCAGUGGAAACUACAUAGCUAGAGUAAGGUAGGGGUAGAGGGAAUUCCUGGUGUAGCGGUGAAAUGCGUAGAGAUCAGGAAGAACACCGGUGGCGAAAGCGCUCUGCUGGACCUAAACUGACACUGAGGGACGAAAGCGUGGGGAGCAAACAGG
This 253-nucleotide ribosomal RNA is filed under the name uncultured bacterium. Its description in RNAcentral is "partial 16S ribosomal RNA". It matches the Rfam family "Bacterial small subunit ribosomal RNA", at positions 524 to 776 of the family's 1533-position model. The record is from RNAcentral.